AGUGAACGCUGGCGGUAGGCCUAACACAUGCAAGUCGAACGGCAGCACAGUAAGAGCUUGCUCUUACGGGUGGCGAGUGGCGGACGGGUGAGGAAUACAUCGGAAUCUACUUUUUCGUGGGGGAUAAUGUAGGGAAACUUACGCUAAUACCGCAUACGACCUACGGGUGAAAGCAGGGGAUCUUCGGACUUUGCGCGAUUGAAUGAGCCGAUGUCGGAUUAGCUAGUUGGCGGGGUAAAGGCCCACCAAGGCGACGAUCCGUAGCUGGUCUGAGAGGAUGAUCAGCCACACUGGAACUGAGACACGGUCCAGACUCCUACGGGAGGCAGCAGUCGGGAAUAUUGGACAAUGGGCGCAAGCCUGAUCCAGCCAUACCGCGUGGGUGAAGAAGGCCUUCUGGUUGUAAAGCCCUUUUGUUGGGAAAGAAAAGCAGCAGGUUAAUACCCCGCUGUUCUGACGGUACCCAAAGAAUAAGCACCGGCUAACUUCGUG
RNAcentral lists this ribosomal RNA (492 nucleotides) under uncultured bacterium. RNAcentral describes it as "partial 16S ribosomal RNA". It matches the Rfam family "Bacterial small subunit ribosomal RNA", at positions 29 to 507 of the family's 1533-position model. The record is from RNAcentral.